Molecule: long non-coding RNA, 4703 nt
Filed under: Musa acuminata (dwarf banana)
Lineage: Eukaryota; Viridiplantae; Streptophyta; Magnoliopsida; Zingiberales; Musaceae
Description: long non-coding RNA (MACU_LNC002947)
Source: RNAcentral
CCUCUCCUCUCUCGUCCCAUCCAAUUUGCUUCCUUGCCGAUGGGAUCCUCCGCAAGCCAGGCUUCCAUCCCGUCCCGCCAAUCGGUCCCGAGGUGUCGCUCCCUCCGGAGUAGGACGAGAAGCCGAGGCCCAGAAAGUCGACCGACUGGUUGAAUCUUCCCUGCCUCGUUCCCUUCGAGCGGAUACAACGAGAGGCACUCGUUUUGUGUACGUAUCCUCUGCGGUUGCUAUGCAUCUGCAAGAACGCUGGUUAAAUUCUUCGAUUAUUGGUUCUAAAUGUCGAGUAGGACAGGGCAAAGAUGCAUCUUCUGGUGCCGAUCGAAGCCUCUUUCUUGUGUUUGUCUCGCGUGCUCCUUGUAAGUUGCAAAAGGAGCUACAGUCCAAUCUCGUAUAGAAACUUGCAGAAAAGACAAUAGGAAGGUUUGUCGUUUCCAAUGCGUACAUCUCUUCUUGCAAGGGUAGUUCCUAGGCACAUUAACCUUCACCAGACCCAAAACAGGUGGAGCCUCAUUGGCUGGAUCUCCCUUUUCCUUAGUGCAUUAUAGACUUCAAGUGCAUCAAUUUUCUUUUAGGAAAAUAGGAGUUUUUGAUCCACCAGGUGCUCAAGUGACUGAUUUUAAUGCCGUAAAGGAAACGCGAAAACUGAAGUGGUUGAUUUCUGUUAAUUCUAGCUCCAUAUGUAUUCUCACAAUGCUUCCUGCAUUGUCCAUGAAUCCAGAGAGUUCAGUUCAGUCAUUUUAACUCAUCCGCAGGUUGUCUAGUUCAAAUUUGAUGGCUUUGUUGGUUUGACCUUUAUAAUUGUUGACCUGAAACCCUUCUACAGUGUUUUCAUGGUGGUUCCAAUGACGUUAUCAGUGCUUCUCCGGAGGAGCAAUUGAAUAUGGGGUUUAAUUUUAUUCUUUUGAUAGAGGUGAAUAACACAUGGAUUCGAUCGUUUCUCACAGCCUUAAAGCUUAACCACUCUAAUUAUUCUGUUUUCUUAUCCAUAUUCAAUAUCUAAUCAUGAUAAUACGGAAGGGUAUGAUGAUCGGAAUCUUCUGGGCCUUCAAUCAUAAUAACUGAUAAAAUAAUUGCUACAUUCUGAACCCAGUGCUUAGCCUUUGAUUCAUCAAUUCUGAUUUUUUUUCUUUUGAUUGUGCAUUGCAGGUUAAUAAUCGACUGAUGGAUUAAAAACUUGGAUUUGGUAUGACCAUACGAGAGUGAAGCUUCCUAUAUAAUUUCUCCAGAAGAUGGAAUGGAAAUUUAUCUGGCUGCUGGGUUUCGUGGUCGCCUCAGCAUACCAUGUCUGAGACCUCCUCAUUUCAUAGCUGCCAAGCUCAUGCUGAAGGUUAGUUAACAAAGGAAAUUACAUUUAUGUAUUCUUAUGAGUUGGAUUCAAACAAAUACUUGUUUCUCGAUAGCCAUUUGGUACUGUGGUAUUUAAUCACCAGAUUCUUUGUUGAAACAAGAUUUAUAACAGCUUUCAUUGUAGAAAAUUUUCUAGGAAGUUUUUUGUGUCAAUUUGGAUUACUUCUCAAGCAUUCCUUUGCUUCGUUAGUGCAGAAGCAUGUGGAGGUAAUGGGCCUCUAAAAGUUAUAGAAAUCUAUAAUUGCUUAAUAAUAAUGAAAAGUUAUACCAUGAUGGCAUAAUAAAGAAUCACCAAGCAAGUCAGAUGAAAAGAUCAUAUAACUAAUUGUCAUCUUGUAUUUUUGAACAGCAUUGCAUAGUGAAUGAUGCAUUUUUCUUCAAAAAAAAAAUUGUAUCAUUUAACUGAUUUUUGUAUGCUGAAACUUUGACAAGUGAUAACCUUAACAUACCACAGAAUGAAAGACUCGGACAAAGACUUGAUACAACUUUUUAUUGGGUUCUUUUACCAACUUCACUUUUGAUCCGAGGAGAAAAAUGUCAUCUGGGUAAUGUUUCUUAGAUAUCACUCCAAAAGAAUAGCACUAAGCAAUGUUUAAAAGCUUUGACUUGGAAUUCAACUUUUGAACUGCAUUUUGCUUAAUUAGGGGACAAAAUUGACCUUAAAAUAAUCAUCAACAAUUAAGUUAAUAACGGUCAACCAAUAAAACGCGUGACAUCUUUUCAAAGUUUUGUUUAAGUAGGCGAUUAAGUCAGAAGUCAGAACUUCUAUUACCAAAUGGGUUGGACAUGGACACAUUUGGAUUUGCUACUCAUGCAUGUGAGACAUGGCUUUGCUUGAUUGAUUGAUCACAGGACAACGUAAUGAACAAAUUAGGCAGCAGAAACACUACCAGAUCUUCAAGAAUCGACUGAGAAAUCCCUAGAUACCCGGUGUUCAUCAAAUCCAAUAAACAUUCAUCUAUAUCCAGUGUAGUUUAUUCCCCAUCAUGUGCAUCAUCUCUUAACAUGCAUUCACUUUUUUUCCUUGUUAAGAAACGUUGUAGGUAUUCACCUAUAAGACUAUACAUAUAUACCUCUUGAUAAGAACAUAUAAAUGAAGCAUGCUUAUUUUCGCUGCUUAUAAUAUGUUUUUUUAGUUUGAUGAAAAAGUGAACCUUCGACUAUUGCAUAUUCAUAUUAUAAGACUAUAAGACUAUACAUAUUCACCUGUAAGACUGUACAUAUAUACCUCUUGCUAAGAAAGCAUGCUACUUUUUUGCUGCUUAUAAUAUAUAUAUUUUUAGUUUGAUGAAAAAGUGAACGGUUUGACUGUUGCAUAUCUCUAGAAAUUGGAAGCAUGGUUUGCAUCGAUUCACUAUGAUAAUUAUUCUUCCCAAAGCUUGUGUUGCAAAAUCUAAUGCUCCGAUCUUUAAGUUUAGAUGUCAAUGUCUUGAAAUUUCUGUUCCGAUCAGAGUGCUGGCGUUUGUUGGCAUGUGUUCUUAAGAAUCAUUACUAUUCGGAUAUGGUUGAGCUAAUAUUUUAAUGCCUGUUAUUUUCUCUUCUUCUUGGGGAUUUAAAUUAGUAGUAGUUGAUACGGAUGCAACUAAUAUUAUAUUUCUUAUGAAUGCAAAAGGAUAGCUAUCGAAUGGGGGCCGUGACUGGAUCGAGAAAAUAUUUUAUUUGACUUGACGUAUGGCUUUGAGAAAGUGUUGAAUGAGUGGCCCAAAGGGACAAUUAGGUGUCAACGUCUGUGAAGUGUAAGAUCAAGCAUCUGUAUUUAUUAUGAUAGCAUUUUCUCUUAUCAUUGAGUAAAUAUAAGUAGGAAAGUUAGGCAAAAGUUUUUGACGUAGAUUUAAAUGAGGUUGCAAAACAAAAAUCAAAACAGCUUGUUAUCUGUUUUCCAAGAUUAGGUUCUUUGUCAAACUCCGGACAUCCAAACUGUAGGUAGAAUCUAGGAUUUUAGGACAGAGCUAUUGGUCCAAACAUGUGUAUCCUUUUAAUUGUAUAACUAUUUUAGUUAAAGAUGCUCUAGUGCUUUUAAUUUAGCUAAUUAUGUUGAGCACAAUAAUAUGAAAAGAUCCAUAUACUCAGCCACAAAUAUAUGGAACAUUUUGACUACUUGUUAUUGCUGUUGUUUCUUGUGCUUAACAAUGUAUUCAAUAUGAUGCAGCUGAAAUCAACAAAGAGGUACAUGUUUUCACCAAUUAUUCUUUUUUUGCCAUCUUGGAAUUACAAGUAUAAAAUACACAAAAUUAGAGAAAACAAAAUCGUGGAUUCUUCUAAUCCUGUGUGCUUUAUGCAGAUAUGGUGAGCUUUGCUGGUGAUGUGGGUCACACACAGCACAAGCAUCUGGUACUUCCUCAGACCCAGUAAACCCCACGUUUUAAACUUGCAUGGCUGGAAUCAGCCGACAAAAGUGCCAACCUGUCAUCACUCGUGGGUAACAUCAAGCACCAGUUGAAUUUAAUUAUAUUUUUUUAUAAUAAAUUUAUCAUGUAUAUAUUUUUAUAAAAAGAUAAAUCUUAAAGAUAAAAUUCAAACUUAGACUGUGUGAUAAUCUGUUAAAAUCUUUAUGAGAUUUAAUUCUAUGAUAAAUUAUUAUUCUUUGAUGCUUUAACAAAAUUAUUAGAUUGGCUUAAAUCGAGUUGAGUUUAAUUUGGAUUAGCGAAGUAAUUAGUCGGAUAUGGAUAUUAUCAUUCUAUUCUAUCUCAUCAUUUAAAUUAGAUUAUAAUAUUUUUAAAUUUUGUUUUAAAAAAAUAAGAGCGUUAUUUAGUUUUGAUUAUCUGUAUAGCUACUGUCAGAUUCAAAUAGAAUGAAAAAUAUGGGUGUUUUAUUUAUUGACAUUUCUAAAUAUAAUUGGGUCAAUUUACAUAAAAAUAGGAUGAGACUUUGCAGGUUUAUGCCCAUUAUUAUUGAGGUAGACCAAUUUAAAUAAACAUAUAAGUAUAGUGAUUAUUUUUAUUUUAUAUGCAUCGUGUCAACAUGAACUGUCUCGAGGGCCUAUUUGCGAAUUUUAAAGGCCCCGAGAGCCAAAGUUGGACGGCCAAGAUUGCUCCUUGAGGAGGCGCACGGCGGGGAUCUCCGCGCUGCAUAUGCCGAACACAGGUCUCGAAGCCACAAUAAACAUUUUCUUUUUCGCUUUUAUUAUUAUUGUUUUUUUUAUAUUUCCGUGAGAAAAGGUUGGAUUUUUGGCUUUUAAAAAUCCAGGUUUUUUGUGUGGUGAUGCGAUUCCCAAUGGAAGCGAGUGGGCUUAAUUAUUGGGGGGUUUUAUCUCUCAGCCAAUGCUUAAAUUACUUACAUACCCUUCACCCCAUUAUAAUUUCGUCGGAUGAAAUGAUUUGGAAGCAGUAAAUUUGUUAUUUCAGAUGUCCGAGCGG